GACGAACCGAGCGAACGUUGUUCGGAAUCACUGGGCUUAAAGGGCUCGUAGGCGGCCAACUAAGUCAUACGUGAAAUCCCUCGGCUUAACCGGGGAACUGCGUCUGAUACUGGAUGGCUUGAGUUCGGGAGAGGGAUGCGGAAUUCCAGGUGUAGCGGUGAAAUGCGUAGAUAUCUGGAGGAACACCGGUGGCGAAGGCGGCAUCCUGGACCGAUACUGACGCUGAGGAGCGAAAGCCAGGGGAGCAAACGGG
This 253-nucleotide ribosomal RNA is filed under the name uncultured bacterium. Its description in RNAcentral is "partial 16S ribosomal RNA". It matches the Rfam family "Bacterial small subunit ribosomal RNA", at positions 524 to 776 of the family's 1533-position model. The record is from RNAcentral.